This 301-nucleotide ribosomal RNA is filed under the name uncultured bacterium. Its description in RNAcentral is "partial 16S ribosomal RNA". It matches the Rfam family "Bacterial small subunit ribosomal RNA", at positions 509 to 809 of the family's 1533-position model. The record is from RNAcentral.
CAGUCGCCGCGGGAAUACGUAGGUGGCGAGCGUUGUCCGGAAUCAUUGGGCGUAAAGGGAGCGCAGGCGGGCAUGUAAGUCUUUCUUAAAAGUUCGGGGCUCAACCCCGUGAUGGGAAAGAAACUACAUGUCUUGAGUACAGGAGAGGAAAGCGGAAUUCCCAGUGUAGCGGUGAAAUGCGUAGAUAUUGGGAGGAACACCAGUGGCGAAGGCGGCUUUCUGGACUGCAACUGACGCUGAGGCUCGAAAGCCAGGGGAGCGAACGGGAUUAGAUACCCCCGUAGUCCCUGUCUCUUAUACA